Molecule: ribosomal RNA, 115 nt
Filed under: Alphaproteobacteria bacterium
Lineage: Bacteria; Pseudomonadati; Pseudomonadota; Alphaproteobacteria
Source: RNAcentral
UCUGGUGGUUAUAGCGGAGCACUUGCACCCGAUCCCAUCCCGAACUCGGCCGUUAAAGGCUCCCGCGCUGAUGGUACUGCAUCUUAAGAUGUGGGAGAGUAAGUCACUGCCAGAC